RNAcentral lists this ribosomal RNA (731 nucleotides) under uncultured beta proteobacterium. RNAcentral's name for it is "bacterial SSU rRNA". It matches the Rfam family "Bacterial small subunit ribosomal RNA", at positions 764 to 1498 of the family's 1533-position model. The record is from RNAcentral. Lineage: Bacteria; Pseudomonadati; Pseudomonadota; Betaproteobacteria.
GGGAGCAAACAGGAUUAGAUACCUGGUAGUCCGGACCAUAAAGGAUGUAAAAAGGAUGUAGGUCUCCACGGAGUCAGUAAAGAAGAUAACGCGUGAAGUUGGCCACCGGGGGAGUGCGGCCGCAAGGUUGAAACUCAAAGGAAUUGACGGGGAUCCGCACAAGCGGUGGAUGAUGUGGUUUAAUUCGAUGCAGCGCGAAAAACCUCACCCACCUUUGACAUGUACGGAAUCCUUUAGAGAUAGAGGAGUGCUCGGAAGAGAACCGUAACACAGGUGCUGCAUGGCUGUCGUCAGCUCGUGUCGUGAGAUGUUGGGUUAAGUCCCGCAACGAGCGCAACCCUUGUCAUUAGUUGCUACAUUUAGUUGGGCACUAUAAUGAGACUGCCGGUGACAAACCGGAGGAAGGUGGGGAUGACGUCAAGUCCUCAUGGCCCUUAUAGGUGGGGCUACACACGUCAUACAUUGGCUGGUACAAAGGGUUGCCAACCCGCGAGGGGGAGCUAAUCCCAUAAAACCAGUCGUAGUCCGGAUCGCAGUCUGCAACUCGACUGCGUGAAGUCGGAAUCGCUAGUAAUCGUGGAUCAGAAUGUCACGGUGAAUACGUUCCCGGGUCUUGUACACACCGCCCGUCACACCAUGGGAGCGGGUUCUGCCAGAAGUAGUUAGCUUAACCGCAAGGAGGGCGAUUACCACGGCAGGGUUCGUGACUGGGGUGAAGUCGUAACAAGGUA